Non-coding RNA from Acyrthosiphon pisum (pea aphid), 90 nucleotides. NCBI's taxonomy places the organism in Eukaryota, Metazoa, Arthropoda, Insecta, Hemiptera, Aphididae. The record is from Rfam.
GGACGGGAUUGUUGAUGGGUGUGUGUCUAGUGACAUGCGUUUUAUAUUUGACAGACAUGACUAGAUCCACACUCAUCCAUGUUCCCGGGC